GGCAGUUCUCGGGUAACGCACCCCAGAAUCGGGCUCUCUCCUCUCUGGUUCCGGGGACAUCACCAGAGAAACACA
Myotis davidii is the source of this 75-nucleotide non-coding RNA. NCBI's taxonomy places the organism in Eukaryota, Metazoa, Chordata, Mammalia, Chiroptera, Vespertilionidae. The record is from Rfam.